UGCUCUAAAGCUCUCCGUUACUGGAAAAAAGGAUUUCCACUCAAUUAAAUCAUGAAGCAGAAGAUUAUGCAGUUUGAGUCUCAAGAUAUAAAAGGUUUGAAGAGAUUGCAUAUAGAUGACUGCUCCAGGUUAACACCCUCCGGCUCCUCUGGAAACCAGGUCAACUGCCCUAUGGAAGUACUGUCUAGCACCCAACAGAUGCCCAAAACUCCCCACCUGCCAAGCUCUGCAUGCUCUUUUGAAGCCCCUGGCUUCAAUGAGAACUUCCUCUAUUCAUGUUUUCAAGGAGAGGCUACUUGACUGACAUCGCAAUCAGCAAUGGAAAAGAGAAAGAGAAAGAACAGUCAUGAAAAGAGAAGCUACAAUCUCUUAUGCAAAUUUUGUAUAUAAGCUACUAUAAAAAUAAGCACUGAAAAAUUAGUCAGAAUCUAAAGAAGCAUGACAGACACUUAGUCCUGAACUCAGUGCCUAGGGAAUAAUUGAGUUCCCAACAAAUACUGGUUGUUCUAUUGAUUC
RNAcentral lists this long non-coding RNA (516 nucleotides) under Callithrix jacchus (white-tufted-ear marmoset). RNAcentral's name for it is "lncRNA (ENSCJAG00000075760.1)". Lineage: Eukaryota; Metazoa; Chordata; Mammalia; Primates; Cebidae. The record is from RNAcentral.